GCAGCCUGCAACUCGGCUGCAUGAAGCUGGAAUCGCUAGUAAUCGCGGAUCAGAAUGCCGCGGUGAAUACGUUCCCGGGUCUUGUACACACCGCCCGUCACACCAUGGGAGUUGGGAAUGCCCGAAGUCAGUGGCCCAACCGUAAGGGGGAGCUGCCGAAGGCAGAUCCGAUGACUGGGGUGAAGUCGUAACAAGGUAAC
Molecule: ribosomal RNA, 200 nt
Filed under: uncultured bacterium
Lineage: Bacteria
Description: partial 16S ribosomal RNA
Rfam family: Bacterial small subunit ribosomal RNA
Source: RNAcentral